This 162-nucleotide ribosomal RNA is filed under the name uncultured bacterium. RNAcentral's name for it is "partial 16S rRNA". It matches the Rfam family "Bacterial small subunit ribosomal RNA", at positions 355 to 511 of the family's 1533-position model. The record is from RNAcentral.
UAGGGAAUCUUCCACAAUGGACGAAAGUCUGAUGGAGCAACGCCGCGUGAGUGAAGAAGGUUUUCGGAUCGUAAAGCGCUGUUGUUGGUGAAGAAGGAUAGAGGCAGUAACUGGUCUUUAUUUGACGGUAUCAACCAGAAGUCGCGGCUAACUACGUGUCAG